UGGACUCUUCACACACUGAGGUCUGGACUCUUCACACUGAGGUCUGGACUCACACACUGAGGUCUGGACUCUUCACACUGAGGUCUGGACACUUCUCACACUGCGCUCCCCCAGACCUCAAAGGUGACUCUGAGGAACUCCUGGUAAUGGGAGCGUUCAUGAGUCACAAAGAGCUUCUGCUCUGCUUCAUCAUCACCAACCAACCAAUGAACCACCUCCACAUCGUCAUCAUCAUCAUCCACACAUUAAUACAUCUGUGACACUACAUUCAGGUUCACGCUCACACAGUUUCACACACUCGAUCGUGCGUAAGAGAAUGAAAAGGUCUUUGAGUGAGUGAGUGAGUCAUCUCAUGUCCCUGUGUGAGAGAACCAUCGACUGCAUCAUCGUCAUUUAUCAGGAGGAAGCAGCUGAAAUCAAAGAAUUCAGAUUGAGUUUUCCCUUUAAUGGUCAUUUUUAUGUAACGUGAUGAUCCAUAAAAGCCAAGACAAAGCAGCGUUUCCCCUAACGCAAGGGUGUAGACAUGAAAUGAAAUGAAAUUGUGGCAUUUUGCUCUCUGACAGUUUAAUUUUCAAAAUAACACAAAUACUCACUCAUUUC
Solea senegalensis (Senegalese sole) is the source of this 600-nucleotide long non-coding RNA. RefSeq lists it as uncharacterized. NCBI's taxonomy places the organism in Eukaryota, Metazoa, Chordata, Actinopteri, Pleuronectiformes, Soleidae. The record is from RefSeq and is a predicted model, not a curated record. The transcript is spliced from 2 exons.